Molecule: non-coding RNA, 27 nt
Filed under: Bombyx mori (domestic silkworm)
Lineage: Eukaryota; Metazoa; Arthropoda; Insecta; Lepidoptera; Bombycidae
Source: RNAcentral
UAGCAAUUACGAGGUAUACGUUGACAC